Molecule: unclassified non-coding RNA, 227 nt
Filed under: uncultured fungus
Lineage: Eukaryota; Fungi
Description: sequence contains ITS1, 5.8S rRNA gene
Rfam family: 5.8S ribosomal RNA (bases 179-227)
Source: RNAcentral
UCUCCGUAGGUGAACCUGCGGAGGGAUCAUUACUGAGUGAGGGUUUAACCGCCCGACCUCCAACCCUUUGUGAAUCGUACUCGUUGCUUCGGGGGCGACCCUGCCGUUCGCGGCGCGGCGCCCCCGGGGGAAAUCAAACACUGCGUCAAUUUGUGUCGGAGUACUUGUUAAUAAACAAAACUUUCAACAACGGAUCUCUUGGUUCUGGCAUCGAUGAAGAACGCAGC